This 1404-nucleotide ribosomal RNA is filed under the name Periconia digitata. RNAcentral's name for it is "SSU rRNA". It matches the Rfam family "Bacterial small subunit ribosomal RNA", at positions 199 to 1491 of the family's 1533-position model. Lineage: Eukaryota; Fungi; Ascomycota; Dothideomycetes; Pleosporales; Periconiaceae. The record is from RNAcentral.
AAAGAAAAAGUUUUUCGCUCUUAGUUGAUUAUUAACAACCACCGGACAAGUAAUAAAUAGGGUAAUUGCCUAUUUAGCUUAUGUCCGUAACCAAGACUGAGAGGUCUAUUGGUCACACUGGGUCUGAAAAAACCCCAGUGCGUAUAGUACAGCAGUGAGGGAUAUUGGUCAAUGGCCUAACGGCUGAACCAGCAACUUGCAGGAAUGAGAGUUAAUAUAAGUAGUUUAUUAACUUACUUGGCUAAGUCUUAUAAAAUUCUGGAUAAAGCUUAUAAUGAAAACUUUAUAUCCAUAGGUCUCGACUAAAUCUUGUGCCAGCAGUCGCGGUAAGACAAGGGAGACGAGUGUUAUUCAUCUUUAACAGGUAUAUAGGGUACCUAGACGGUGUACAAAGGCUUGAAUAGUACCUGAUACACUAGAGUUUGAUAUGUGAGAGGAUAUGUCAGUAUGGUUGGUGGAGAGAUGAAAUUCUUUGAUACCAAUUAGACGGGUAACGGCGAAGGCAAACCUUUAUGUACAAGUACUUUUUUAUCUUUUAAGAUAGAGUUUAACCAAAAUAAUUUUGAAUUAUUUUGUACAGAGAUUUUAGAAAUAGAAUUUUUAGAAUGUAAUCUUAAGAGUAAGUACUAUAACUGACGUUGAGGGACGAAGGCUCAGGGAGUGAAGAGGAUUAGAUACCCCCGUAGUCUGGGCAGACAAUGAUGAGUGCCAUAGGUUAGCUUAUGCUGAACUAUAAAUGAAAGUGGAAGCACUCCACCUCAAGAGUAAUGUGGCAACGCAGGAACUGAAAUCAUUAGACCGUUUCUGAAACCAGUAGUGAAGUAUGUUGUUUAAUUCGAUGAUCCGCGAAAAACCUUACCACAAUUUGAAUGAACUAAUUACUUUGUAGCUAGUUUACGUUUUUACGUGAAUUUUAACUAUGUUUUUAGAACACAUGCGUUGCAUGGCUGUCUUCAGUUAAUGUCGUGAGAUUUGGUUAGGUCCAUUAAAUUAACGUAAACCCUUGUUUUAUUUAAUAUAAUAAAGCAGCUCUCCGCUUAGAAUUGGAUAUGAUAACAGGGACUAAGACAAGUCAUCAUGGCCUUAAUAUUGUGGGCUACAGACGUGCCACGUAUUCCUUUACAAAGGGAUGCAAUAAUGCGAAUUGGAGCUAAUCCCACAAAAAAGGAUAGAGUAUGGAUUGUAGUCUGAAACUCGACUGCAUGAAAAAGGAAUUACUAGUAAUCGUGAGUAAUCACAUCACGGUGAAUAUUAUCUCAGAUAGGUACUAACUACUCGUCAGGCGCUGAAAGGAGUAUAUGCAAUAAGUUUGGUAGCUGCUAUUUGUUAUCACAAAACAUUUAAGUUUAGAUCUUUUGGCAAGAUAUCUUCGUAUGCGUGACUCUGAUUAGUGUUAAGUCGAAA